Molecule: transfer RNA, 70 nt
Filed under: Dipodomys ordii (Ord's kangaroo rat)
Lineage: Eukaryota; Metazoa; Chordata; Mammalia; Rodentia; Heteromyidae
Rfam family: tRNA
About the family: Transfer RNA (tRNA) molecules are approximately 80 nucleotides in length. Their secondary structure includes four short double-helical elements and three loops (D, anti-codon, and T loops).
Source: Rfam by way of RNAcentral
GGAACUGUGGCUUAGUGGUAGAGUGUUUGCCUAGCAUGCAUGAAGCCCUGGGUUCGAUUCCCCAGUACCA